RNAcentral lists this ribosomal RNA (790 nucleotides) under Streptomyces sp. I07A-00509. RNAcentral describes it as "bacterial SSU rRNA". It matches the Rfam family "Bacterial small subunit ribosomal RNA", at positions 38 to 846 of the family's 1533-position model. Lineage: Bacteria; Bacillati; Actinomycetota; Actinomycetes; Kitasatosporales; Streptomycetaceae. The record is from RNAcentral.
GGCGGCGUGCUUACACAUGCAAGUCGAACGAUGAAGCCUUCGGGUGGAUUAGUGGCGAACGGGUGAGUAACACGUGGGCAAUCUGCCCUGCACUCUGGGACAAGCCCUGGAAACGGGGUCUAAUACCGGAUAACACUGUNCCCCUCCUGGGGGACGGUUGAAAGCUCCGGCGGUGCAGGAUGAGCCCGCGGCCUAUCAGCUUGUUGGUGGGGUAAUGGCCUACCAAGGCGACGACGGGUAGCCGGCCUGAGAGGGCGACCGGCCACACUGGGACUGAGACACGGCCCAGACUCCUACGGGAGGCAGCAGUGGGGAAUAUUGCACAAUGGGCGAAAGCCUGAUGCAGCGACGCCGCGUGAGGGAUGACGGCCUUCGGGUUGUAAACCUCUUUCAGCAGGGAAGAAGCGAAAGUGACGGUACCUGCAGAAGAAGCGCCGGCUAACUACGUGCCAGCAGCCGCGGUAAUACGUAGGGCGCAAGCGUUGUCCGGAAUUAUUGGGCGUAAAGAGCUCGUAGGCGGUCUGUCACGUCGGGUGUGAAAGCCCGGGGCUUAACCCCGGGUCUGCAUUCGAUACGGGCAGACUAGAGUGUGGUAGGGGAGAUCGGAAUUCCUGGUGUAGCGGUGAAAUGCGCAGAUAUCAGGAGGAACACCGGUGGCGAAGGCGGAUCUCUGGGCCAUUACUGACGCUGAGGAGCGAAAGCGUGGGGAGCGAACAGGAUUAGAUACCCUGGUAGUCCACGCCGUAAACGUUGGGAACUAGGUGUUGGCGACAUUCCACGUCGUCGGUGC